This 1306-nucleotide long non-coding RNA is filed under the name Phasianus colchicus (ring-necked pheasant). Its description in RNAcentral is "lncRNA (ENSPCLG00000015750.1)". The record is from RNAcentral. Lineage: Eukaryota; Metazoa; Chordata; Aves; Galliformes; Phasianidae.
GGAAAAUCAGUGCUAUGCGAAUCUUCCCUUGCCCUCCCCUCAAAAAGAGAAAAAAGCAGCCCUAUAUAAGAACUUCACAUUUGGGGAGAUCUUUAUGCAGUUACUGUAUUGCAUUUUUUGUGUGAGGUUUCCUAAUCACCAGACUUCCAUCAGUGGCAGGUAGACUCAUUUCUUGAAUCAAGUUUGUGAAAUGCUACGUGACCUGGCAGGUUACAGCUCUAGAAGUAAAAAAAAAGACCUUGCUGGUAAACUCACUGUACUUCUCACUGUGAGGGACAACAGAAAAAAGGUGACCCUGUGGCUCAUGUUAGGCACAUAUGUGUACAGAUUUGUACAGUCAUUUAAUUAGUUUUAUCAUAGGCAUCCUGUGGAACGCAGAGAUUGGUUAUGAAGGCCUUAAUACAGUGUGUACCCAGAAAACCAAGUAGUGCAGCAAGCACACUCUUCUGCAGAUAUUUGAACCUCUAUCUUCCUUUCAUGGGACUUCAGCAUAACCAGCAUGCUGCCAGCCCAUCUCACACCUGCUGGGCCGGGCUUUCAUCUGCUGCUGUUGUUAGGCAUGGACACAGCUGGGAUCCCACAGAGACUCAGACACCCAAAGUGUAUGUCCACACCACACACGUUGAGUAUGGUGUUUCAGCUGAAGAUGCCAGAUGGAGCAGGGCAGGGCAAUCAAGAGGCAAGAGCCAAGACUGACCAGCUUGCAGCAGCCACCCACCCCUGCACAUGGCAGUCUGACUGCUCCCACUGCCAGCUCAGCAGUGACUCCAGAACCCAGGCGUCAGGGAGAAUAACAAAUGUUGCUGCUAGUGGUAAGUUUUAUUCUGUGAGAAAAGGAAACACAAAGGGUUUCUCUGGGAGGGAGUGGCUGAUAGCCAAUUGCCGGAUGUUCAAAGAUAUUCGAGGCAAACUCUCACCUCUCUCCCUCCCUCUCUGAGAUGAAUAUUUUGACCCCAGCCUGAGCUUCUAAGCACCUCUCUGCUAAUAAGAACAACAGUAUUUCCUCUGGAUUUCCACAGUGUGCACAUGUGUCAAGUAUCAAAGAAAAGCUGGCAGCCAUACUCUCAUAGCCUACAACAAAAAGGAAGCGGGAGCAAAGAAGGAACUUAAGGAAGGAUAUUCACAUCUGUACGUAGAAGUACAAUUUAUAUUGGCAAUAUCAUUACUGCCAUUUCAGCGUCUCCCAGCAGGGCAGCAAGUAUGAAAAUCUUUUGUUAAAGUUGAACUGUUUGGAGGACAUUCACUGUACCAUUUCAGUUAGCAUUAAUGAAAAUUAUAUAUUCAGAUCACUGAAGGCCGCACUGCA